AAAAACGAAGGAGUGAAUGCGGAAUUAACUUCCUCAUAAAGAAAGAAGGAGCAAAGUGUGAGAGUACACGAGCGGCGAACGGCUGCGUAACGCGUAGGAACGUACCCCAAAGUGAGGGAUAAGCACCAGAAAUGGUGUCUAAUACCGCAUGUGGUCUUCGGAUUAAAGCUUCGGCGCUUUGGGAGCGGCCUGCGUAUGAUUAGUUUGUUGGUGAGGUAAUGGCUCACCAAGGCUUCGAUCAUUAGCUGGUCUGAGAGGAUGAUCAGCCAGACUGGGACUGAGAACGGCCCAGACUCCUACGGGAGGCAGCAGUAGGGAAUUUCCACAAUGGGCGAAAGCCUGAUGGAGCAACGCCGCGUGCAGGAUGAAGGCCUUCGGGUUGUAAACUGCUUUUAUAUGUGACGAUUAUGACGGUAGCAUAUGAAUAAGGAUCGGCUAACUCCGUG
RNAcentral lists this ribosomal RNA (446 nucleotides) under uncultured bacterium. RNAcentral's name for it is "bacterial SSU rRNA". It matches the Rfam family "Bacterial small subunit ribosomal RNA", at positions 79 to 507 of the family's 1533-position model. The record is from RNAcentral.